This 370-nucleotide ribosomal RNA is filed under the name uncultured organism. RNAcentral describes it as "bacterial SSU rRNA". It matches the Rfam family "Bacterial small subunit ribosomal RNA", at positions 526 to 896 of the family's 1533-position model. The record is from RNAcentral.
CGUAGGGUGCGAGCGUUAGUCGGAAUUACUGGGCGUAAAGCGUGCGCAGGCGGUGAUGUAAGACAGUUGUGAAAUCCCCGGGCUCAACCUGGGAACUGCAUCUGUGACUGCAUCGCUGGAGUGCGGCAGAGGGGGAUGGAAUUCCGCGUGUAGCAGUGAAAUGCGUAGAUAUGCGGAGGAACACCGAUGGCGAAGGCAAUCCCCUGGGCCUGCACUGACGCUCAUGCACGAAAGCGUGGGGAGCAAACAGGAUUAGAUACCCUGGUAGUCCACGCCCUAAACGAUGUCAACUGGUUGUUGGGUCUUCACUGACUCAGUAACGAAGCUAACGCGUGAAGUUGACCGCCUGGGGAGUACGGCCGCAAGGUUG